RNAcentral lists this ribosomal RNA (500 nucleotides) under uncultured bacterium. RNAcentral's name for it is "bacterial SSU rRNA". It matches the Rfam family "Bacterial small subunit ribosomal RNA", at positions 30 to 504 of the family's 1533-position model. The record is from RNAcentral.
UGAACGCUGGCGGCGUGCUUAACACAUGCAAGUCGAACGAGAAAGGGAUUGCUUGCAAUCCUGAGUAGAGUGGCGCACGGGUGAGUAACACGUAGAUAAUCUACCUUCAAGCCUGGGAUAACUAUUCGAAAGGAUAGCUAAUACCGGAUAAAGUUUUUCAACAUAAGUUGAAUUAUGAAAGAUUGCCUCUUCUUGAAAGCAAUUGUUUGGAGAUGAGUUUGCGGACCAUUAGUUAGUUGGUGGGGUAAAGGCCCACCAAGACAGCGAUGGUUAGCUGGUCUGAGAGGAUGAUCAGUCACACUGGAACUGGAACACGGUCCAGACUCCUACGGGAGGCAGCAGUGAGGAAUUUUGCGCAAUGGGGGAAACCCUGACGCAGCAACGCCGCGUGAGUGAAGAAGGCCUUUGGGUCGUAAAGCUCUGUCAACUGGGAAGAAGUUGUACAUAUCCAAUAGGUGUGUGCAUUGACGGUACCAGUGGAGGAAGCGCCGGCUAACUCC